Molecule: ribosomal RNA, 411 nt
Filed under: Nanoglomus plukenetiae
Lineage: Eukaryota; Fungi; Glomeromycota; Glomeromycetes; Glomerales; Glomeraceae
Description: partial large subunit ribosomal RNA
Source: RNAcentral
AGAGUUAAACAGUACGUGAAAUUGUUGAAAGGGAAACGAUUGAAGCCAGUCGUACCGACGGGAAAUCAACUUCUCGAGUGCUUGUCGUGGGUUGCGUUGAGCUUAACGGCCUUCGUUGCUUGCGUUAUGGUGCUUUUGGGGUGUACUUUUCCGUAUGUAGGUCAACAUCGAUUUUGAUCGUCAUAAAAUGAUCGGAGGAAUGUAGCUUUGAUCUCGUAUUAAAGUGUUAUAGCCUCUGGUAGAUAUGGUGACUAGGAUUGAGGAUUGCAACGAACCCUUCGGGGCUACCUGUCUGAUCUCUGAUCGUUACUCUGGUGCCGAAAGCUUGCUUACGGUCAUCAAAGUUGGUUAUCAAAAGGUUAGAACGGGUUGAUUUCGCUAAGGAUGUUGACGUAAUGGCUUUAAACGACC